RNAcentral lists this ribosomal RNA (240 nucleotides) under uncultured bacterium. RNAcentral describes it as "partial 16S ribosomal RNA". It matches the Rfam family "Bacterial small subunit ribosomal RNA", at positions 94 to 334 of the family's 1533-position model. The record is from RNAcentral.
AGUGGCGGACGGGUGAGUAACGCGUGGGUAACCUGCCUCAUACAGGGGGAUAACAGUUAGAAAUGACUGCUAAUACCGCAUAAGACCACAGCACCGCAUGGUGCAGGGGUAAAAACUCCGGUGGUAUGAGAUGGACCCGCGUCUGAUUAGGUAGUUGGUGGGGUAACGGCCUACCAAGCCGACGAUCAGUAGCCGACCUGAGAGGGUGACCGGCCACAUUGGGACUGAGACGCGGCCCAA